UACGUAGGGGGCAAGCGUUGUCCGGAAUUAUUGGGCGUAAAGAGCGCGUAGGCGGUCCGAUAAGUCGGCUGUGAAAGUCAUGGGCUCAACCCAUGAAAGCCGGCCGAUACUGUCGGACUAGAGUCCGGAAGAGGCAAGUGGAAUUCCCGGUGUAGCGGUGAAAUGCGCAGAUAUCGGGAGGAACACCAAUUGCGAAGGCAGCUUGCUGGGACGGUACUGACGCUGAGGAGCGAAAGCGUGGGGAGCGAACAGG
This 253-nucleotide ribosomal RNA is filed under the name uncultured bacterium. RNAcentral describes it as "partial 16S ribosomal RNA". It matches the Rfam family "Bacterial small subunit ribosomal RNA", at positions 524 to 776 of the family's 1533-position model. The record is from RNAcentral.